This 254-nucleotide ribosomal RNA is filed under the name uncultured bacterium. Its description in RNAcentral is "partial 16S ribosomal RNA". It matches the Rfam family "Bacterial small subunit ribosomal RNA", at positions 524 to 776 of the family's 1533-position model. The record is from RNAcentral.
UACGGGGGGAGCAAGCGUUGUUCGGAUUUACUGGGCGUAAAGGGCGCGUAGGCGGCCAGCACAAGUCAGUUGUGAAAUCUCCGAGCUUAACUCGGAAAGGUCAACUGAUACUGUGCGGCUAGAGUGCGGAAGGGGCAACUGGAAUUCUUGGUGUAGCGGUGAAAUGCGUAGAUAUCAGGAGGAACACCUGCGGUGUAGACGGCUAUCUGGACGGCCACUGACGCUGAGACACGAAAGCGUGGGUAGCAAACAGG